AUUGAACGCUGGCGGCAUGCCUUACACAUGCAAGUCGAACGGUAACGCGGGGGCAACCCUGGCGACGAGUGGCGAACGGGUGAGUAAUACAUCGGAACAUAUCCAGUAGCGGGGGAUAACCUAUCGAAAGAUUGGCUAAUACCGCAUACGAUCUACGGAUGAAAGCAGGGGACCGCAAGGCCUUGCACUAUUGGAGUGGCCGAUGUCAGAUUAGCUAGUUGGUGGGGUAAAGGCCUACCAAGGCGACGAUCUUUAGCUGGUCUGAGAGGAUGAUCAGCCACACUGGGACUGAGACACGGCCCAGACUCCUACGGAGGCAGCAGUGGGGAAUAUUGGACAAUGGGCGAAAGCCUGAUCCAGCAAUGCCGCGUGAGUGAUGAAGGCCUUAGGGUUGUAAAGCUCUUUUACCCGAGAUGAUAAUGACAGUAUCGGGAGAAUAAGCUCCGGCUAACUCCGUGCCAGCAGCCGCGGUAAU
Molecule: ribosomal RNA, 475 nt
Filed under: uncultured bacterium
Lineage: Bacteria
Description: bacterial SSU rRNA
Rfam family: Bacterial small subunit ribosomal RNA
Source: RNAcentral